UGGUGUGAUCUUGGCUCACUGUAACCUCCACCUCCCAGGUUCAAGUGAUUCUCAUGCCUCAGCCUCCCAAGUAGCUGAGAUUAUGGGAGAAAAGGCCUCGGAGUAAACUUCCCAGAGCUCUGAGAGGUCUCAUGGGUGAAGCCAACAUUCGUUUUGCUCGAGGAGAACGUGAAGAGGCGAUAUUGAUGUGCAUGGAAAUCAUAAGACAAGCUCCUCUGGCUUAUGAGCCAUUCUCUACUCUUGCCAUGAUAUAUGAGGACCAAGGUGACAUGGAAAAAUCAUUGCAGUUUGAGUUGAUUGCUGCGCAUUUAAAUCCCAGUGACACAGAAGAAUGGGUUAGACUGGCAGAAAUGUCUCUGGAACAAGACAAUAUUAAGCAGGCUAUUUUUUGCUAUACAAAAGCUCUUAAAUAUGAACCUACUAAUGUUCGUUAUCUGUGGGAGCGAUCAAGCCUUUAUGAACAGAUGGGUGAUCAUAAAAUGGCCAUGGAUGGUUAUAGGCGUAUUUUAAACCUUUUGUCUCCAUCUGAUGGCGAACGUUUUAUGCAGCUGGCUAGAGAUAUGGCAAAGAGUUACUAUGAAGCCAAUGAUGUUACUUCUGCUAUUAACAUAAUUGAUGAAGCUUUCUCAAAACACCAGGGCCUAGUCUCCAUGGAAGAUGUUAACAUAGCAGCUGAACUAUAUAUUUCUAACAAACAGUAUGACAAAGCUUUG
RNAcentral lists this small RNA (713 nucleotides) under Pongo abelii (Sumatran orangutan). Its description in RNAcentral is "processed transcript". Lineage: Eukaryota; Metazoa; Chordata; Mammalia; Primates; Hominidae. The record is from RNAcentral.